GACGAACGCUGGCGGCGUGCUUAACACAUGCAAGUCGAACGGAAAGGCCCUGCUUUUGUGGGGUGCUCGAGUGGCGAACGGGUGAGUAACACGUGAGUAACCUGCCCUUGACUUUGGGAUAACUUCAGGAAACUGGGGCUAAUACCGGAUAGGAGCUCCUGCUGCAUGGUGGGGGUUGGAAAGUUUCGGCGGUUGGGGAUGGACUCGCGGCUUAUCAGCUUGUUGGUGGGGUAGUGGCUUACCAAGGCUUUGACGGGUAGCCGGCCUGAGAGGGUGACCGGCCACAUUGGGACUGAGAUACGGCCCAGACUCCUACGGGAGGCAGCAGUGGGGAAUAUCGCACAAUGGGCGGAAGCCUGAUGCAGCAACGCCGCGUGCGGGAUGACGGCCUUCGGGUUGUAAACCGCUUUCGCCUGUGACGAAGCGUGAGUGACGGUAAUGGGUAAAGAAGCACCAGCUAACUACGUG
Molecule: ribosomal RNA, 468 nt
Filed under: uncultured bacterium
Lineage: Bacteria
Description: partial 16S ribosomal RNA
Rfam family: Bacterial small subunit ribosomal RNA
Source: RNAcentral